GCGGAAGGAUCAUUAUUGAAUGAACUUGGCGUGGUUGUCGCUGGCCCUCUCGGGGGUAUGUGCACGCCCGUCAUCUUUAUCUUUCCACCUGUGCACACUUUGUAGACUUGAAUAGUAUUUUCUGAGGCAACUCAGUCGGGAGGAUUGCUGGUAUUUAUCAGCUCUCCUUGCAUUAUUCAAGSCUAUGUUUUUCAUAYACCCCAAAAAUGUAACAGAAUGUAUCAUUGGGCCUUGUGCCUAUAAACUAUAUACAACUUUCAGCAACGGAUCUCUUGGCUCUCGCAUCGAUGAAGAACGCAGCGAAAUGCGAUAAGUAAUGUGAAUUGCAGAAUUCAGUGAAUCAUCGAAUCUUUGAACGCACCUUGCGCUCCUUGGUAUUCCGAGGAGCAUGCCUGUUUGAGUGUCAUUAAAUUCUCAACCUUAUCAAUUUUCACAAGUUGRUAAUGGCUUGGACUUGGGGGCUUUUUGCUGGCUUCGUCAAGAGGUCUGCUCCCCUUAAAUGUAUUAGCCGGUCCCCUUGUGGAGUCGUCUAUUGGUGUGAUAAUUAUCUACGCCGUGGGCCUUCACUUUAAAUGGGUUGUACUGCUUCUAACCGUCUGUUAAGUCAGACAAAUAAUGACAAUUUGACCUCAAA
This 634-nucleotide ribosomal RNA is filed under the name Galerina autumnalis. RNAcentral's name for it is "eukaryotic LSU rRNA". The stretch from base 253 to 406 matches the Rfam family "5.8S ribosomal RNA". Lineage: Eukaryota; Fungi; Basidiomycota; Agaricomycetes; Agaricales; Galerinaceae. The record is from RNAcentral.